This 284-nucleotide ribosomal RNA is filed under the name Rhodnius nasutus. RNAcentral's name for it is "partial 16S ribosomal RNA". Lineage: Eukaryota; Metazoa; Arthropoda; Insecta; Hemiptera; Reduviidae. The record is from RNAcentral.
AAUUUAAUUAUGGAAUUUAAUUUUUAGGUUAAAAAGCUAAAAUGUUUUUAUAGGACGAGAGAGACCCUAUAGAUCUUUACAGUUUAUUAAAUAUAAUGAUUUAGUGAGUUAUUUAUUAUUAUUCAAUAAUUUUGUUUGAUUGGGGUGAUUGUGGAAUUCUUUUAACUUCCAUUAUUUUUUUUCAAGGGUUAUUGUUUUUUUGAUCUCAUUAAUAAUGAUUAUAAGAUUAAGUUACCUUAGGGAUAACAGCGUAAUUUCUUCGGAGAGUUCAUAUUGAUGAAAAA